This 346-nucleotide unclassified non-coding RNA is filed under the name soil metagenome. RNAcentral describes it as "partial contains 5.8S ribosomal RNA, internal transcribed spacer 2, and large subunit ribosomal RNA". The stretch from base 1 to 119 matches the Rfam family "5.8S ribosomal RNA", at positions 36 to 154 of the family's 154-position model. The record is from RNAcentral.
AUGAAGAACGUAGCGAAAUGCGAUAAGUAAUGUGAAUUGCAGAAUUCAGUGAAUCAUCGAGUCUUUGAACGCACAUUGCGCCCCCUGGUAUUCCGGGGGGCAUGCCUGUCCGAGCGUCAUUGCUGCCCUCAAGCACGGCUUGUGUGUUGGGCCGUCGUCCCCCUCCUAGGGGACGGGCCCGAAAGGCAGCGGCGGCACCGCGUCCGGUCCUCGAGCGUAUGGGGCUUCGUCACCCGCUCCGUAGGCCCGGCCGGCGCUUGCCGACGACCAUCAAUCUCUUUCUCCAGGUUGACCUCGGAUCAGGUAGGGAUACCCGCUGAACUUAAGCAUAUCAAUAAGCGGAGGA